Molecule: ribosomal RNA, 253 nt
Filed under: uncultured bacterium
Lineage: Bacteria
Description: partial 16S ribosomal RNA
Rfam family: Bacterial small subunit ribosomal RNA
Source: RNAcentral
UACGGAGGGUGCGAGCGUUGUCCGGAAUCACUGGGCGUAAAGGGCGCGUAGGUGGCUUGGCAAGCGUGCGGUGAAAGCCCGGGGCUCAACUCCGGAAUUGCCUUUAAGACUGCAUCGCUAGAAUUGUGGAGAGGUAAGUGGAAUUCCGAGUGUAGAGGUGAAAUUCGUAGAUAUUCGGAAGAACACCAGUGGCGAAGGCGACUUACUGGACACAUAUUGACGCUGAGGUGCGAAAGCGUGGGGAGCAAACAGG